AUAAACGCAAGGACACGGAACAGUAAGCGAAAAUGCCCUUUCAGAGAAGUGCCGGUUGGUGCAAGGCACAAAGGUUGUUUUUUCGCCGAACUCACCGGAUAGCGGCUGUGCUGAACUUCAGUAGGCGCAGACGGGUGCGCCCGUUACAGUGCAGGGAUAUGACUGUAUCCUGACUGAGUGCGUCCCACAGCUUGUGGAACGAAGAAGAGUGGUACCGCGGACGGUUUUUCAGCCUUUCGUCUCUUCU
Molecule: non-coding RNA, 247 nt
Filed under: Bacillota bacterium
Lineage: Bacteria; Bacillati; Bacillota
Description: Firmicutes bacterium T-box sequence
Rfam family: T-box leader
About the family: Uncharged tRNA acts as the effector for transcription antitermination of genes in the T-box leader family.
Source: RNAcentral